Leptonychotes weddellii (Weddell seal) is the source of this 1164-nucleotide non-coding RNA. The record is from RefSeq and is a predicted model, not a curated record. Lineage: Eukaryota; Metazoa; Chordata; Mammalia; Carnivora; Phocidae.
UUUCCAUAUUCUUGAAUGGACCUGCAGUAGGAUGAAAUUUAGAAAGGAGAAAUGCAAAAUGUAAUUUUCACUAAUAGCUUUAAUGUACUUGAUUUCACCAAAAACUAUUUAAGCCCUCCCUGACGUCGUGUCACAGAAAACUUUUGUGAGAGAGGGUGGUAACUUAUUAUUUUGCAAUAUAAUUUGAUAUAAUUUUACAGAAUAGUUUGAAGAAUAAGGAAUUCCCAUAAACUCGUUGUCCAAACUAGUUAUUCAUUUUGCUUUUUGCUAUUUGCUUUAUCACAGAAAGCACUUGGACCUUAUUUUUUGAUAUAAUCUUGAUAUACCAUUCUCCAGUAUUUACUUUUUCAUCCUUGUUUUUAUCUGAGAAUUCGUUUCUGUAAUUGACAGGGAUUUUAGGAAGACUUCGGGAUUAUUCUCAAAAAGAACUUUUUCAGAAGACCUAGUUAAUGAGCUCCUGAAUGGUGGUAGUAAUUGGAUGACAUACCAUACUGCAGUCUGUUUUUCUUGUUCCUUGGGGACAGAGGGUAUUUAAAAAGCUAAUUGAGGAUAAAAAUAUCUAGCAUGUGUCAAUCUCCAUACGUGUUAAUCUUUUUUCCACCUUUCAUGUAGGUUUGGUACCACGUAUGUAGUAGCCGUGGAAAAGGAUGUUAUAACACAAGACUCAAGGAAGAUGGUGGCUGCACCAUAUGGUACAAUGAGAUGCAGUUGCUCUCUGAGAUAGAAGAGCAUCUGAAUUGCACCAUUUCUCAGGUUGAACCAGAUAUAAAGGUACCAUUGGAUGAGUUUGAUGGGAAAGUCACCUAUGGUCAGAAAAGGGCCGCUGGUGGUGGAAACUAUAAAGGCCAUGUGGAUAUUUUGGCACCUACGGUUCAAGAGUUGGCUGCCCUUGAAAAGGAGGCGCAGACAUCUUUCCUGCAUCUUGGCUACCUUCCUAACCAGCUGUUCAGAACCUUCUGAUUUUAACGUACACCGAAUAAGAUUUGAGUAAUAAAAGUCUGUAGUCUUAAAACUCUAAAACAGUUGUAUUGCUUCCAAGCAGCAGUAUUUAUAGUAACAUAAGCUAUUAAUGCUAACUCUUGCAUGUCAAGAAACAUUAAUCUUAGGAAUUCUUCAUAAAAUGGCAACCUAAUGAGAAUAAUAAAUUUGAUGACUAUAUUUUUA